GCAGGUCUGCAACUUACCCCGAGGGGACCUACCCUGUAGGGACCUUACCCGGUAGUUGCCGGCAUAACCUGCCGGUGGUCUACUAAACUCUGUUUACUAUGUUAUUCUGAAUAAUAUAACUAAAUAAGUUAAAACUUUCAACAACGGAUCUCU
RNAcentral lists this ribosomal RNA (153 nucleotides) under fungal endophyte. RNAcentral describes it as "5.8S ribosomal RNA". Lineage: Eukaryota; Fungi. The record is from RNAcentral.